Molecule: non-coding RNA, 84 nt
Organism: Bombyx mori (domestic silkworm)
Lineage: Eukaryota; Metazoa; Arthropoda; Insecta; Lepidoptera; Bombycidae
Source: Rfam
UUAACUCAAACUUGUAUGGACUUGAAACGUUUGCCUACGUUUGCCGCUAGGGGCGCUGUUCCAACUGCAUACAAAUUUGAGUUA